ACAGUCUUCUACAGCAUCAGAAAGACCCUUAUGAUUUUAACUUUGAUCCUGAGAUAUCGAAAGUAUUGCUGACAACUGUUGUAUAUUUGCCUAGUCUCAAAAUCAAUAAAAUAAAAACAAUUACACACAAUAAGAAAACAGAGACAGACAGAAGGACAUACACAAUAAAAAUAAAGAAGUAAGAGUAGGGAUGAACAAAAGAAGAAGAAUAACACACUGUAUGAAUAAAGAAAGAGAGAGAAUAAGAGGAAAUUCACAAUCAAUACAGAAAGAAGCAUACAAUAUAGAA
Amphimedon queenslandica is the source of this 289-nucleotide long non-coding RNA. RefSeq lists it as uncharacterized. The record is from RefSeq and is a predicted model, not a curated record. The transcript is spliced from 2 exons. Lineage: Eukaryota; Metazoa; Porifera; Demospongiae; Haplosclerida; Niphatidae.